Molecule: ribosomal RNA, 502 nt
Filed under: uncultured Rhodoplanes sp.
Lineage: Bacteria; Pseudomonadati; Pseudomonadota; Alphaproteobacteria; Hyphomicrobiales; Nitrobacteraceae
Description: partial 16S ribosomal RNA
Rfam family: Bacterial small subunit ribosomal RNA
Source: RNAcentral
UAGAGUUUGAUCAUGGCUCAGAGCGAACGCUGGCGGCAGGCCUAACACAUGCAAGUCGAGCGGCCGUAGCAAUACGGCAGCGGCAGACGGGAGAGUAACACGUGGGAACGCGCCCUUUGGUUCGGAACAACCCAGGGAAACUUGGGCUAAUACCGGAUACGUCCGUAAGGAGAAAGAUUUAUCGCUGAAGGAUCGGCCCGCGUCUGAUUAGCUAGUUGGUGGGGUAAUGGCCCACCAAGGCGACGAUCAAUAGCUGGUCUGAGAGGAUGAUCAGCCUCACUGGGACUGAGACACGGCCCAGACUCCUACGGGAGGCAGCAGUGGGGAAUUUUGCGCAAUGGGGGAAACCCUGAMGSMRSAAMSSCSSSKKRRKKRWKRAAGGCCUUCGGGUCGUAAAGCWCUGACAGGGGGGAAGAACCGGCAGGAUGCUAAUACCAUCUUGCCCUGACGGUACCCCUAAAGGAAGCACCGGCUAACUCCGUGCCWGCCGCCGCGGWAAUAC